RNAcentral lists this unclassified non-coding RNA (314 nucleotides) under air metagenome. RNAcentral's name for it is "partial contains small subunit ribosomal RNA, internal transcribed spacer 1, and 5.8S ribosomal RNA". The stretch from base 1 to 46 matches the Rfam family "Eukaryotic small subunit ribosomal RNA", at positions 1786 to 1831 of the family's 1831-position model. The record is from RNAcentral.
AAGUCGUAACAAGGUUUCCGUAGGUGAACCUGCGGAAGGAUCAUUAUUGAAAUAAACCUGAUGGGUUGUUGCUGGUUCUCUAGGGAGCAUGUGCACGCCUGUCAUCUUUAUAUCUCCACCUGUGCACCUUUUGUAGAUCUGGAUAGCUUUCUGAAUGCUUAGCAUUUGGGUUUGAAGAUUGACUCUUUUGUCUCUUCUUCACAUUUUCAGGUCUAUGUUUCUUCAUUAUACCCCAAUGUAUGUUAUAGAAUGUGAUAAAUGGCCUCUGUGCCUAUAAACCUAUACAACUUUCAGCAACGGAUCUCUUGGUUCUC